CCUACGGGUGGCAGCAGUGGGGAAUAUUGCACAAUGGGGGAAACCCUGAUGCAGCGACGCCGCGUGAGUGAAGAAGUAUUUCGGUACGUAAAGCUCUGUCAGCAGGGAAGAAAGAAAUGACGGUACCUGACCAAGAAGCCCCGGCUAACUACGUGCCAGCAGCCGCGGUAAUACGUAGGGGGCAAGCGUUAUCCGGAAUUACUGGGUGUAAAGGGAGCGUAGACGGUUAAGUAAGUCUGGAGUGAAAGGCCGGGGCCCAACCCCGGGACUGCUCUGGAAACUAUUGAACUUGAGUGCAGGAGGGGUAAGCGGAAUUCCUAGUGUAGCGGUGAAAUGCGUAGAGAUUAGGAGGAACACCAGUGGCGAAGGCGGCUUACUGGACUGUAACUGACGUUGAGGCUCGAAAGCGUGGGGAGCAAACAGGAUUAGAUACCCUUGUAGUC
This 443-nucleotide ribosomal RNA is filed under the name uncultured bacterium. RNAcentral's name for it is "partial 16S ribosomal RNA". It matches the Rfam family "Bacterial small subunit ribosomal RNA", at positions 338 to 795 of the family's 1533-position model. The record is from RNAcentral.